UACGAAGGGGGCUAGCGUUGUUCGGAAUUACUGGGCGUAAAGCGCGUGUAGGCGGCUAUGCAAGUCGGGCGUGAAAUCCCACGGCUCAACCGUGGAAGUGCACUCGAAACUGCGUAGCUAGAGUCCCGGAGAGGAAGGUGGAAUACUUGGUGUAGAGGUGAAAUUCGUAGAUAUCAAGUGGAACACCGGUGGCGAAGGCGGCCUUCUGGACGGUGACUGACGCUGAGACACGAAAGCGUGGGGAGCAAACAGG
This 253-nucleotide ribosomal RNA is filed under the name uncultured bacterium. RNAcentral describes it as "partial 16S ribosomal RNA". It matches the Rfam family "Bacterial small subunit ribosomal RNA", at positions 524 to 776 of the family's 1533-position model. The record is from RNAcentral.